AGCGGUAACAGAUCCAGCUUGCUGGAUGCUGACGAGCGGCGGACGGGUGAGUAAUGCAUAGGAAUCUGCCCGAUAGUGGGGGAUAACCUGGGGAAACCCAGGCUAAUACCGCAUACGUCCUACGGGAGAAAGGGGGCUCCGGCUCCCGCUAUGGGAUGAGCCUAUGUCGGAUUAGCUAGUUGGUGAGGUAACGGCUCACCAAGGCCACGAUCCGUAGCUGGUCUGAGAGGAUGAUCAGCCACAUCGGGACUGAGACACGGCCCGAACUCCUACGGGAGGCAGCAGUGGGGAAUAUUGGACAAUGGGGGAAACCCUGAUCCAGCCAUGCCGCGUGUGUGAAGAAGGCCCUCGGGUUGUAAAGCACUUUCAGCGAGGAAGAACGCCUAGCGGUUAAUACCCGCUAGGAAAGACAUCACUCGCAGAAGAAGCACCGGCUAACUCCGUGCCAGCAGCCGCGGUAAUACGGAGGGUGCAAGCGUUAAUCGGAAUUACUGGGCGUAAAGCGCGCGUAGGUGGCUUGAUAAGCCGGUUGUGAAAGCCCCGGGCUCAACCUGGGAACGGCAUCCGGAACUGUCAAGCUAGAGUGCAGGAGAGGAAGGUAGAAUUCCCGGUGUAGCGGUGAAAUGCGUAGAGAUCGGGAGGAAUACCAGUGGCGAAGGCGGCCUUCUGGACUGACACUGACACUGAGGUGCGAAAGCGUGGGUAGCAAACAGGAUUAGAUACCCUGGUAGUCCACGCCGUAAACGAUGUCGACCAGCCGUUGGGUGCCUAGCGCACUUUGUGGCGAAGUUAACGCGAUA
RNAcentral lists this ribosomal RNA (800 nucleotides) under Halomonas sp. Its description in RNAcentral is "bacterial SSU rRNA". It matches the Rfam family "Bacterial small subunit ribosomal RNA", at positions 65 to 862 of the family's 1533-position model. The record is from RNAcentral. Lineage: Bacteria; Pseudomonadati; Pseudomonadota; Gammaproteobacteria; Oceanospirillales; Halomonadaceae.